This 474-nucleotide ribosomal RNA is filed under the name Neisseria flava. Its description in RNAcentral is "bacterial SSU rRNA". It matches the Rfam family "Bacterial small subunit ribosomal RNA", at positions 30 to 490 of the family's 1533-position model. Lineage: Bacteria; Pseudomonadati; Pseudomonadota; Betaproteobacteria; Neisseriales; Neisseriaceae. The record is from RNAcentral.
AUUGAACGCUGGCGGCAUGCUUUACACAUGCAAGUCGGACGGCAGCACAGAGAAGCUUGCUUCUUGGGUGGCGAGUGGCGAACGGGUGAGUAACAUAUCGGAACGUACCGGGCAGUGGGGGAUAACUAAUCGAAAGAUUAGCUAAUACCGCAUAUUUUCUGAGGAAGAAAGCAGGGGACCAUUUGGCCUUGCGCUGUUUGAGCGGCCGAUAUCUGAUUAGCUAGUUGGUGGGGUAAAGGCCUACCAAGGCGACGAUCAGUAGCGGGUCUGAGAGGAUGAUCCGCCACACUGGGACUGAGACACGGCCCAGACUCCUACGGGAGGCAGCAGUGGGGAAUUUUGGACAAUGGGCGCAAGCCUGAUCCAGCCAUGCCGCGUGUCUGAAGAAGGCCUUUCGGGUUGUAAAGGACUUUUGUCCAGGGAAGAAAAGGGCGGGGUUAAUACCCCUGUCUGAUGACGUACCUGAAGAAUAAG